GACCGUGCAAAGGUAGCAUAAUCAUUUGCCUUAUAAUUGAAGGCUAGUAUGAAUGGUUUGACGAGAAUUAAGCUGUCUCUUUUCAAUUAAAUAUAAUUUUAUAUGCAGGUGAAGAAGCCUGCAUUUUAUUGAAAGACAAGAAGACCCUAUCGAGCUUUAAAGAAUUUAUAAGACCUACUGAGUAUUUAUAAAUAAAUAGGACUAAUAAAAACUUUGGUUGGGGCGACUGAGGAACAAAUAAAGCUUCCUUUAAACUAAAAAAACUUACUGGUAUUGAUCCAAUAUAUUUGAUUAAAGGAAUUAGUUACCGUAGGGAUAACAGCAUAAUCCUCUUUGAGAGUUCUUAUCGAAAAGGGGGUUUGUGACCUCGAUGUUGGACCAGAAUACCCAGAAGAUGCAGCCGUCUUCAAUGGUUGGUCUGUUCGACCAUUAAAAUUCUACGUGAUCUG
Molecule: ribosomal RNA, 449 nt
Filed under: Stramonita brasiliensis
Lineage: Eukaryota; Metazoa; Mollusca; Gastropoda; Neogastropoda; Muricidae
Description: partial 16S ribosomal RNA
Rfam family: Bacterial large subunit ribosomal RNA
Source: RNAcentral